CUGGCAUAUGAUGAGAAGCAGGACAAGAAUACCUGCAGCGUUCCUGAUCCAAAUCAGGGAUGCAAUAGCAUGAUGACUCCGUCUAGGGGAAUCUCUGAUGCAAA
RNAcentral lists this small nucleolar RNA (104 nucleotides) under Leersia perrieri. Its description in RNAcentral is "snoRNA snoR44_J54". It matches the Rfam family "Small nucleolar RNA R44/J54/Z268 family". From Rfam's summary of the family: R44, J54 and Z268 are members of the C/D class of snoRNA which contain the C (UGAUGA) and D (CUGA) box motifs. Most of the members of the box C/D family function in directing site-specific 2'-O-methylation of substrate RNAs. Lineage: Eukaryota; Viridiplantae; Streptophyta; Magnoliopsida; Poales; Poaceae. The record is from Rfam by way of RNAcentral.